UGGUCUGCGGAGAAGAAGGUCACAGUUGGGGCACAGGAGCCGCCUAGAGACGAGGGCCGGGAAAGCAUGAGCCGGGGCUCACCUGGGAGCGGCAGGUCAAGGCGUUGAAGAGGUCGAAGAGCACGAAACAGCUCCCUGGCCAUGUCAGCACAGGGGCUGUCUGAACCUGCAGGCCAUGGAAAGGUGACGCACAGGAAGAGCCCCUACAGUGA
Molecule: long non-coding RNA, 212 nt
Organism: Aethalodelphis obliquidens (Pacific white-sided dolphin)
Lineage: Eukaryota; Metazoa; Chordata; Mammalia; Artiodactyla; Delphinidae
Exons: 2
Source: RefSeq, a predicted model, not a curated record